RNAcentral lists this long non-coding RNA (992 nucleotides) under Jatropha curcas. Its description in RNAcentral is "long non-coding RNA (JCUR_LNC001590)". The record is from RNAcentral. Lineage: Eukaryota; Viridiplantae; Streptophyta; Magnoliopsida; Malpighiales; Euphorbiaceae.
CAAGAGAAAGCACAAGAAGGACAUCAGUGGAAACCCCAGAGCCCUUAGGAGGCUCAGGACAUCCUGUGAAAGGGCAAAGAGAACUCUCUCAUCAACUGCACAGACCACCAUUGAAAUUGACUCCUUGUAUGAGGGUAUUGACUUUUACUCCACCAUCACUCGAGCCAGAUUUGAGGAACUUAACAUGGAUUUAUUUAGAAAAUGUAUGGAACCAGUUGAGAAGUGUUUGAGGGAUGCCAAGAUGGACAAGAGCACUGUACACGAUGCUGUGCUUGUUGGUGGUUCUACUAGGAUUCCUAAGGUCCAGCAGCUUUUGCAGGACUUCUUUAAUGGAAAGGAACUUUGCAAGAGCAUCAACCCUGAUGAGGCUGUUGCUUAUGGUGCUGCGGUCCAAGCAGCUAUCCUGAGUGGUGAGGGUAAUGAGAAAGUUCAGGACCUUCUUUUGUUGGAUGUCACUCCUCUUUCCCUUGGUUUAGAAACUGCUGGUGGCGUCAUGACAGUGUUGAUUCCCAGGAACACUACCAUUCCCACCAAGAAGGAACAAGUAUUCUCUACCUACUCAGACAACCAGCCUGGUGUGUUGAUUCAGGUAUAUGAAGGAGAAAGAACAAGGACAAGGGAUAACAACUUGCUUGGUAAAUUCGAGCUCUCUGGCAUUCCCCCUGCUCCCAGGGGUGUUCCACAAAUUACAGUGUGCUUCGACAUUGAUGCAAAUGGUAUCUUGAAUGUGUCUGCUGAGGACAAGACCACUGGCCAGAAGAACAAGAUCACCAUUACCAAUGACAAGGGAAGACUCUCGAAGGAGGAGAUCGAGAAGAUGGUUCAAGAGGCAGAAAAGUACAAGUCUGAGGAUGAAGAACACAAAAAGAAGGUUGAGGCUAAGAAUGCAUUGGAAAAUUACUCGUACAAUAUGAGGAACACAGUGAAGGAUGAGAAGAUUGGUGCCAAGCUUUCUCCAGCUGACAAGAAGAAAAUAGAAGAUGCAAUUGAGG